UACGUAGGUCCCGAGCGUUGUCCGGAUUUAUUGGGCGUAAAGCGAGCGCAGGUGGUUUAUUAAGUCUGGUGUAAAAGGCAGUGGCUCAACCAUUGUAUGCAUUGGAAACUGGUAGACUUAAGUGCAGGAGAGGAGAGUGGAAUUCCAUGUGUAGUGGUGAAAUGCGUAGAUAUAUGGAGGAACACCGGUGGCGAAAGCGGCUCUCUGGCCUGUAACUGACACUGAGGCUCGAAAGCGUGGGGAGCAAACAGG
This 252-nucleotide ribosomal RNA is filed under the name uncultured bacterium. Its description in RNAcentral is "partial 16S ribosomal RNA". It matches the Rfam family "Bacterial small subunit ribosomal RNA", at positions 524 to 776 of the family's 1533-position model. The record is from RNAcentral.